AACGAACGCUGGCGGCAGGCCUAACACAUGCAAGUCGAACGCCCCGCAAGGGAGUGGCAGACGGGUGAGUAACACGUGGGAACAUACCCUUCGGUUCGGAAUAACUCAGGGAAACUUAGAGCUAAGACCGGAUACGUCCGCGAGGAGAAAGAUUCAUCGCCGGAGGAUUGGCCCGCGUCCGAUUAGCUAGUUGGUGGAGGUAACGGCUCACCAAGGCGACGAUCGGUAGCUGGUCUGAGAGGAUGAUCAGCCACAUUGGGACUGAGACACGGCCCAAACUCCUACGGGAGGCAGCAGUGGGGAAGUAUUGGACAAUGGGCGAAAGACCUGAUCCAGCCAUGCCGCGUGAGUGAUGAAGGCCCUAGGGUUGU
Molecule: ribosomal RNA, 371 nt
Filed under: uncultured bacterium
Lineage: Bacteria
Description: bacterial SSU rRNA
Rfam family: Bacterial small subunit ribosomal RNA
Source: RNAcentral